AGUGAACGCUGGCGGUAGGCCUAACACAUGCAAGUCGAACGGCAGCACAGUAAGAGCUUGCUCUUACGGGUGGCGAGUGGCGGACGGGUGAGGAAUACAUCGGAAUCUACUUUUUCGUGGGGGAUAACGUAGGGAAACUUACGCUAAUACCGCAUACGACCUACGGGUGAAAGCAGGGGAUCUUCGGACCUUGCGCGAUUGAAUGAGCCGAUGUCGGAUUAGCUAGUUGGCGGGGUAAAGGCCCACCAAGGCGACGAUCCGUAGCUGGUCUGAGAGGAUGACCAGGAAAACUGGGACUGAGACACGGCCCAGAGUACGACGGGAGGCACAAGUGGGGAAGGUUGGACAAGGGGCGUAAGCCUGAUCAAGCAAUGCGGCGUGAAAGAAGAAGGCCUUCGGGUUGUAAACUGCUUUUGUAAGGAACGAAACGGAUCAGGGUAAUACCCGGGGGUAAGGACGGGACCGGAAGAAUAAGCACCGGCUAACGACGUG
Molecule: ribosomal RNA, 492 nt
Filed under: uncultured bacterium
Lineage: Bacteria
Description: partial 16S ribosomal RNA
Rfam family: Bacterial small subunit ribosomal RNA
Source: RNAcentral